This 706-nucleotide long non-coding RNA is filed under the name Capsicum annuum. Its description in RNAcentral is "long non-coding RNA (CANN_LNC014086)". The record is from RNAcentral. Lineage: Eukaryota; Viridiplantae; Streptophyta; Magnoliopsida; Solanales; Solanaceae.
UCUUAAUGUACAUAUCCUCCACCAAAACACUACCAUCUUUCUCCUUAAUGCACCUCACUUGAUCGAGGUCAUGAACCUUCAGCUUCUGAGCCUUAGCAAGCCUAUACAACCUCUCUUCCCCUUCUUUCUCCUCUAACCCCGAAUACAAGCUCUCGAACGCGGCUGACUUAGCAGUCGUAACUACUAACUUAGCCUCUUUCCUUGUUACUUUAUAAACCUCCCUAUUCACCCGAUUCUCCUCUUCAUAUUUACUCUCACUCAACUUAACAUAUGCCCUCUUCUUAAUCUCUACUUUCUUCUUCACUUCUUUAUUCCACCACCAAUCCCCCUUACGAUGACCUUCCUGGCCUCUCAAAACACCCAACACUUCUCUAAUAGUCUCCGUGAUGCAACUGGAAGCCCUAUCACAUAUAACAUCCACGUUCCCCUGUACUCCCACACCCCCAUUCCCGCUACUUUUUUCUCUAUCUCCAGAGCACUAACUGGCGUCAAGCCACCCUACAUAAUUCUAGGUCAACCCUCCCCGGCCUUUCUCUUCUUGCUCUUCUUGAUAGAUAAGUUCAUCACUAGAAGCCUGUAAUGGGUCAAAAGAUGCUCACUCGAAAUGACUCUACAGUCCUUACAUAACACCCUAUCCCCCUUCCUAAGCAGCAGAAAUUCAAUCUGAGUCUUGGGUAUAGCGCUUCAAAAGGUAAUCAGAUGAUCC